UAUUGCUUGAGAAUACACGUCG
This 22-nucleotide microRNA is filed under the name Ixodes scapularis (black-legged tick). RNAcentral describes it as "isc-miR-137". Its record names the gene isc-miR-137. The record is from miRBase by way of RNAcentral. RNAcentral also lists the same sequence under 1 other name. Lineage: Eukaryota; Metazoa; Arthropoda; Arachnida; Ixodida; Ixodidae.